CCGGGGUCGGCCCGGUGGUGCACACGUUCGGCUUCAGCGGCCCGGGGUUCGCCGGUUUGGAUCCCAGGUGCAGACAUGGCACCGCUUGGCAAGCCAUGCUGUGGUGGCCCACAUUUCCUCCCCAUCUAAAUAAAGGGAUUUACAAGGACUUCCUCGGGGAGGCUGUCAGCAUCCAGAAAAGCUGAGCUGAGGGCUUGUGACAACUGCCCCAACAUGCUGUUAUACAGGCUGUGGACAGUACACCAUGUCUCCCCGGUAACAUUCAGAGGAUGGAACGAUGGCUCUAGAACUGGAUUCUGAUCUUGGACAAAGUAUACUGCUCUGGACCUCAGAAGUCAUUCUGCUUCUACAAGUCCAACUUGUCAAAGUCCUUCUCUGAGAAACCGUCCAGACUUCCCCGGUCAGAAUCAACGUCUCCUUCCUCUUGUGGACACCCCUAACACUUUGUUUCUUCCUCCCGUGCAGCAAUUACACAGUGUGCCUUGUGGUCUAGAUGGUUCCACAGGCUUUGAAAUCAACGAACCAAGUUCAAAUACAAUAUUGACCUUUGGCAAACGAGUCAGCAUCUCGAAGCCUCAGUUUCCUUCCUUGUGGGAUAGAGCGCCCAUUUUACAGCUGGGAGAAUUCAGCGAGAUCAUGUGUAACUAGCACCUCACACAGCUCCUGUUGGAUGGGUGUUACUACUGUAUUAAGGAUCUUGUAGGGCAUGGAAAUCAAGAUUCCGCACACGUUUGCACGUGGUACAGCUGAGGAUUGAAGCCUGGGAUGGAUAUGUACCAACCGUAGAACCUGCCAUGCUGCAGCUCCGGUAACUAGUUCAGAGCCUGUACAUCCUGGGAAUCAAGAAACAUGUCUGAGGAAAGGAAGGAGGAAAAGAAGGAAGAAUGGAAGGAAAGCUGAAUGGUAAUAAAGAAAAUUUAGACAAUGAACUUCUCUCAAAUGAGAGAGAAGAGUCUGAAUCUGCUCUCAGUGGAACCUAUCAUUUCUGACCUCGGAGAGGUAAUAAGAGGCUUCAAGUGCUUUGUUCUUUAAGUAACUGGCCACUGUGUACAUUGUUUGGUCAUGGGUUGUGGAAAAAUCCCCCCGAGUCAGCUCCAAGGAACAAAACGUGGUUGCUUAGACUGUUCAAACCUUCAAAACUAGUCUUCUCAAAAGGCUUGGGCCUAAAGAACACUUGUGUGACCUACAUGUUGUUUGCCAUUGUCACUGACAGAGAACAAAGGAAAGGGAAGAACCCUUUGAUUGGUCUGCAUCUCAAUAACCUGAAAUGUCUGCCCCACUGCUCAUUUUAAAAGGAGCAAGAGUAGAUCUACGUGGUGUUCCAGGUUA
RNAcentral lists this long non-coding RNA (1329 nucleotides) under Equus caballus (horse). RNAcentral's name for it is "lncRNA (ENSECAG00000058625.1)". The record is from RNAcentral. Lineage: Eukaryota; Metazoa; Chordata; Mammalia; Perissodactyla; Equidae.